This 4876-nucleotide long non-coding RNA is filed under the name Sus scrofa (pig). Its description in RNAcentral is "lncRNA (ENSSSCG00040037366.1)". The record is from RNAcentral. Lineage: Eukaryota; Metazoa; Chordata; Mammalia; Artiodactyla; Suidae.
ACGGCGCUGCCCAGCGCUCCUUCGUUUUUCACAGAGACGAUGAUAAGAGCCCCACUCCUGCUACUGCUGCUGGUACCGGCUGCAGGUUCCUUGGUGGGCACUGCCCGGCCUCGCAGGGCACUGCAGCCGGCAUCCCACCUGCAGCCCCUCCGGACAUCGGCCCCUCCGGUGGCCUCUGGUAGAGAGAGGUGCUGCGAAGCAGGCUUUCUGUACCCAAGGGCUCGUGAGGUUUGCAUGCGGUUUGAAGACUAAACCGAACCUGCCACGACUUAAGGGGCGGGGUGUCCCCGGGCUCCGGGCUCGGUUCACCUGCAUCCGCUUCCUCACGAGGGCACGUGACUCAUCUUCUGCGUUUUUGCUACGCGGUCCCCGCCUUUUCUGCAGGGGGUGGAGUAACAGCCUUCAAACUUUUAGUUUCUUGGUUUUGCUGAAUUUGAUCUGCAGAUAAAAUGAAUCAUUCUGAGUGAGUCCAUCCGGGCCCCCCCCCGCCCCCCAGCACUGCUGCCGAGAUUCCCCCGCGUGCUGUUGAGCCGAGCUCUGUGCCAGGCAGCUCUUCCUCCUCCUCUGGUGGCAGUGGCGGCGGCAGCGAGGGUCAGAGGGAGGACUGGGGAGGAGCAGGAGGAGCAGGGGCUCAGGCAGUGACUCUGGAAGCAGGGUGGUCCAUGGGGAGCCCCCCAGGCUUGCUCCCUGGUGCCAUCGCGGCUGGCGCUGCCCCCGCAGAGGCUGGGCUCCGGGCGUGUCCUCAGCCUUGGCCGGAAUGCACCCUCUUCCAGCUGCCCGGGGUCUCCUCAGGCACUUGAAGCGGCCUGGACUCACCCCAGGGAGGUGGCUUCCAGGCAGAACCCGUGUUCCUGUCGGUUCAGGUCCUUGCGGCCCAGGUUGAGGGCUAGUCAAGAAGCCGGCUCAGAGGGUUGCGGCCGGAGUGUGGCCGAGUCUUCAUCAGGACAGACACGUGUGUAUUCAGACCUUUUAUGGUUUUCAAGAAGGUGGCACCCUGGGCUUACAGUGGCCUUGGAAUUUUUAUUACGUUUCUUACCAGGGAUCUGUCUUCCUUUUGCUAUUUAAGUAGCAUCUUUUCAUUUCCUACUUUUUGAGCACUUAAAACCUCCAGGAAAGGGACCAGAAGAGCAGAGUGGAUGAUGACACGCCCUCUGCAGGUUCCGCGGUGCUGGCCCCUGGGACAUCCGCUCCGUCUCUUCUCCCCUCUUCCUGCUUCCUGCCCCGCUUCUGUGUGUGCGUGUGUGUAAUAUACGUGCAGAGUGUUCACACACACACAUUUUGCCACCAUCAUGACACUUCACUCCAGCGUGUAUUAGCUAAGAACACAAACGCAGCGUAGCGCUCGCACUUGGGACAUGUCCCGUCGGGGCUGUUAUCCCAAAACGGCAUCUGUUCUCAAACGUUGCCGAGUGUCCGAUCACGUUGCUUGCACUCUUCCCCUCUGUCCCCAGGUAGGAGCCCAUCAAGGGCUGCUGUCCCUGCUGAGCUGUUCCCGCGACGGCUGGUUGCCAGCUGGACAGCGGACUCACGGCGACAGGUGGGUGCAGGGGGACCCGAGUCUCCCGUCGAUCACGCAGGUUUCAGUUUGUCUCAGAACCGAGGAUGAGGCUCGUCCGCUUGGUUAAGGUGCCACUCUCCAGAUCCUCCGCUGUGAAGGCAUCUCCCCUUGUGAUUAACAGCUUACUUAGGAGGUGAUGCUCUGAGGCUGUGAAACCCGCCCCAGCCUUGCCCCUGACGGCUGGGCAUCCACUGCUCAACUGUUUUUGAAUGGUUUCUGUAAUGGAGACAAAGCGGCGAGUUUCUGUGCUGUGGUUUCUUUCUUGGUUAUCGCUUAGCGGUCUCCCAUCUUGAAGAACUUCUUCCGCACGUUUGAAUAAUUUUAGUAUCAGGGAGUUCCCUUUGUGGCUCAGUGUGUUAAGAAUCUGACUAGUAUCCAUGAGGAUGCAGGUUCGAUCCCUGGCCUCGCUCAGUGGGCGAAGGAUCUAGUGUUACCACAAGCUGCAGUGCAGGUCUCAAAUGUGGCUUGGAUCGGGCAUUGCUGUGGCCGAGGUGUAGGCCUGCAGCUGCAGCUCUGCCUCGACUCCGAGCUUGGGAACCUCCAUAUGCUGCAGGUGCAGCCCUAAAAAUUAAUUUCAGUAUCAGAUUACAUUAACGAUAUCUUUUUACUUCUAAGAAUUACAAUCCAUUCUGUCAUUAUUCACUGUGUUGUUCAAAGUAUUCCCAAUACAGCCACCGGGACCCUCUCCAGGCUGGCUUCUGGGUCUAUUUUUGUGUCCCAGUCAGUGUUGGAGAAAGAACACUGGUAUGUUUUAAAUUUUAUGUAUUUAUUUAUGUGGCUGCACCCAUGGCUUAUGUAAGUUCCCGGGCCAGGGAUCCAGUCAGAGCUGCAGCUCUGCAGAUCCUUGACCUGAAGUGCCACAGUGGGAACUCUAAGUGAUAUCUUUUAAAAGUUCAUUUUCUCUUUGUUGCUCGUGGAGCUGAUUUUGCUACACUGAUCUUGCCCCCUCAACAACCCUGCUGAACUCUUCAACUCGUUCUAAAAUGGUGUCUGGGAGUUCCUGUCACGGUGCUGUGGAAGCGAAUCCGACUAGGAUCCAUGAGGAUACGAGUCCUCGUUCGAUCCCUGGCCUCGCUCAGGGGGUUAAGGAAACGGCGUUGCCGUGAGCUGGGGUGUAGGUCGCAGGCGCGGCUCGGAUCCCACGUGGCUGUGGCUGUGGCGCAGGCCGGCGGAUCUAGCUGGGACUCUUCAUAUGCCGCGGGUGCGGCCCUAAAAAGACAAAAGACAAAACAAACUCAAGUGGGUUGGUGAAUUUACCAAUUUGUUGCAUUUGUUAGGAUGGCCGUGCCCUUUCCUCCUUUCAUAUAGUUUGCUGCGAUAAAUCACAGUCAGAUUUUGAAUAGGCGCCACCCCUGCAUUGUUGGUGUAAACCUUACUUGAUAUUUUCAAUGUAUUUUACCCCCAGCUUAGCAGUAUUUGGUUUAGCCUUCUGGUGUUUAGGCACGAGACUGGCUUUUAUUUCUCCUGUGCGGCAUUUCUCUAUUUCAUGGUCUCCUUGUCCCAAACCACGUGUACCCAGCAGCCUGUGCCGCUGCGUGUUCCGGUCUGGGGAGGAGGAUGGAGACGUGAGCAGAGGGGACUUGGGCCUGUCUUCUCAGGGCCGAGGAGCGGGGGUCUUAGAUACCGCGCGGUCCCCUGCAGGGGUGCAGCCCGGCAGUGUCUGGACUCUGGGAGAGGCGCCAAUGGGCUGCCCUCCCGGUCUUCUCACCAGACGCCUCCCAGCUGGGCCCCAAAGGGCUCUCGGGUAACGUCCUCGCGAUCUCAGGUCAGAGCCUUUGCUGUGGCCCGGAGGUUUGACUCUGCCUGCGGCCGCCGGGGGAGGGGGGGGGUCUGAGCACCAGGGGGUGUGUGAGUUGGGGGGAGGCUGCUGGGCGGGGCUUUGCAGGCUUGCUUUCUGUGCGCCUGCUCUCAGGGCUGGAGGAAGGCAGGCACAUGGAGCACCCGAGCACGAACCCCCUGCUCGAGGCCGGGUCAGGGCUGCCUCGGAUGUCCGCCUCGGUGCCCCUGAACCAAAUCGCUCCUUGCUUCACCCGAGAGUGUUUGCUUUCCCAACCCUGAGCUGCGGGACCGCGCUUGUGGGUGCUCACAAGGCGCUGGAGCGCAGCUGCUCAGGAUGCCGGGGUCUCCCCGGCUGCAGGAGGGUGCCUGUGAGGGUGAGCGAGUGUGCGUAGAGAUGUGCAAGGGAGCGCACGCGAGCGUGAGUGCCCGCGUGUCGUAUGAGUGCGUGUGCACGCGCAAGUGAGUGUGCACGCUUGUGAGCGUGCGUGUAGGAGUGCGCACGCGUGUACAUGUGUGCGUGGGCAGGGGCGGGCGGAGGCCAGCGGCCCCUCCCCUCCCCCCUCGCUCCCGCCCCGCCCUCCAGCCCCUGCGGUCCUGGGCCCGCCCUGCUUCCCCGCUUCCCAGCUUCCCAGCCCUUCUGCCCCGCUCUUUGUGUUUGCAAAGGCUCGCCUCUCCCCGCCGCUCUCUCGCUCUCUCCGAGCUGAAAUCCUCUCUGUCUUCAAGAUGCAGAUGAAAUGCCUUGUUCUCCCUGACGGGUCCCAGCCGGGGAUAAACAUUUCUUCCUGUUCAGACUUAGCCUGUCUGCCUUGAAUUAUGCAUGUGUGCCGCGGAGGGCUCCUUCAGGAGAGGGAUUAUGACUUAUUUAUCUUCGUGUUUCCCCCUCCCCCCUCCCCCCACCACCGAGGGCAGUGCCUGGCAAGCCGAAGGUGCUCGAUGAUUGUUUAUUAAAGUGGAUAUUAACUGCUCCUCCUUAUUCGUGUUCAGUGAGACUGUUCAGUUCCGGGAUAAGCGAUGGAAUCUUUGGAGGGAAUGGGAGUCUGCCGCUUACACCCUGAGGCUAAAGUCGUCCGACCCCUUUCAUCGCGUCUCCUUCCCCACCUGGAUCUGGCGUCGCCUCACUCCGCCUCCACGGUGGCUGCGCGGGCGCGGCCCCGGCGCGGUCGGUCCCAGUCCGCGGGCUCGAUGCGCGCACCCGGGACCGGGCACAGAUGCGCCGGGCUUUUGUGUGAAGCUUCAGCCGCGCUCCCAGGUCGGGGUGGUGAAAUGCUUUUAGCUGCAUUCUCAUGCCUGUCACACCUUCCAGCAGAAUUAGCGCAGGGCUCGAGACGUGAUUCCUAAACCCCACCAUGCCUUGAAUUAUCCCAAGGGGCGCUGGAAGUUUUCAAAACAAAGUUAAUUGCAAUUCCUGGUAAUCAUGCACAUAGUUAAUGCCACACCACACUGAGCCUAAGAUGAACGCUACAAAAAUCGAAGUGUCAGAACUCUGGGAAGAUUGAGAUGCAGAGCGGUGGAAUUAGUCUCUUCUGAAAAAAGAAAAAA